This is a long non-coding RNA of Pezoporus flaviventris, 1703 nucleotides long. RefSeq lists it as uncharacterized. NCBI's taxonomy places the organism in Eukaryota, Metazoa, Chordata, Aves, Psittaciformes, Psittacidae. The record is from RefSeq and is a predicted model, not a curated record. The transcript has 3 exons.
UUUAUUGGUUCGUAUUUAUUAAUGCAGUUGAAACUUCUUUUGCUUAAAGCUUCAAAGUAAUGUCAGCCACAUUGCAGUGGAAGACAUGUAAUAAGGUAUCACAAAUCCAUCAAUAGUUUCUUAGUAAAGCUGCAAAAUAAAGUCCUCAUUUUAUGCCUGGAAUGAACUUGUCCUGUGUCUUGUCGGACAAUCUGCGUAACAGUUUUGACAGAAAUAAGAUAAACUCUGUCAGGAUUGUUAGUACCUUCCAAAACUGAACUCCAAAAGUGAGCCAUACAGUCAAGCAUGGGAGUGUAUGGGUAAAAUUACAAGGAGAGGCUGUAUAAGAACAAACAUAUGUCAAACAUAGGGUAUAGGCUUCCUCCUAAUGGGCUUGGGCUUUGUAGGCCAUGUAGGUUGCCAGAAUUGAACACGAUACACAGUUUGUGGCUUUUGUGUCUUAUUUCUUAAUGAAUGCAUGAUGUACAAAUCAAAUACUGCAGCAAAGUAUGAGGAGCUAUAGUUACCCUACCAAGUGGCCUGUCUCCUGUCCUUGAUUUGACCCCUGGUGUUCUCCGCUGCUAUCCUUAUCUCCCUCUCUAAAUUAGCAAUCUGCAUAAAGAAAAGGAAUAUCAAAGAUCAAUCCCAGCAGGACAGUUCCUCAUAAUGAGACUAAAGGCUCUGUUUCAUGGAAAGAUCUUGUCAGUCAACAUGCUAAAAUCCACAGUCUGAGCAAUACAUCCCAGAAACCAUUACUGGAGAGUGUGGUUAAAAACUAUUUCCCUGGGAGUGAUUUUACUUCUUGGGCAAGUCUCUCACAGGUGAAAUCUAUUAGGAAGGCCAGACCACUUCCUAUCAGCAAGCAAGCAAGGACAAUCCAAAGAAUAGGCAAUGAUGUGUUGCCUUAUAAGCAGGGAAGGUCUAAGGAAGGACUGCAGAUUUUAGUGGAAGUAGAAUUUUUUGGGGAAAAUCCAUCGUCUGUAAUGGGAUUUUGAAAGGAUUUAUCUAUGCAAAAUUGUCCAGUCUACAGAACUGGUAGUUUAAAAAACAAACAGAAAUGCUCAAAGAAAAGCUUAUGCAGCCUGACCUGGUUAUUGAAUGGAAGUUGCCCUCUUUUUGUGUAGUAUAGGUGGGACUGACAAUAGAUUUAAGUCAUCUGUUAUCAUAGUCAUUGCUAUGCAGUGUGAUUUACUUUGCCAUAGCUAAUUUCAGCUGCAGCAGCCAACGCUGAUAGUUCAAGUUGGGUAUCACCACCAUUUGCGAUCUGAGAUGCAGCCCUCUUUUUUUACAUACACACACCUCGCUUGUUUUUUCCGGGAAGAUGAUCAAAAGAAUCAACCUUACAGGGAUCUUCCUCUUCACCUGAGAGGCACGGAGUUAGAAAUGAGACUGCAAGAUCCAGCAAGAAGCAUCCAGAGAAGCCUGCAGAAGCAACCACCUGAACCAGUCCUCUUUGUGCUCUCCACCUCACGUGCCUUGUCUCCGAAUCACUGCAUUUGGGCUUUCUCCUGACACUGAGUCAGUCUGCUUGUUAGUAAACAUUUUCCAAUCUGCUUUUGGCUCCAAACUGGAUUUCUCCUGGAUCCUGAAAGCCGUGAAUAGUUUUGAAGGAAAAUUACCUGACAGAAGCAGAGUACAACCUGAAGAGCCCUCCACAUGUUACUGCUAAGUCCUGGAAGCCUCCCUUCAGGAUUAGUGCUCCCUUAGUUGCUUCAAUGGCCAGG